Aedes albopictus (Asian tiger mosquito) is the source of this 1378-nucleotide long non-coding RNA. RefSeq lists it as uncharacterized. The record is from RefSeq and is a predicted model, not a curated record. The transcript has 3 exons. Lineage: Eukaryota; Metazoa; Arthropoda; Insecta; Diptera; Culicidae.
CUGUAGAAACAGGAAAAGAUUGAAGGUUGAGUUAUGAUCGAAUUUUAGCGUUGGUAUCAAAAGGUAAAUAUUAGGAGGUUCCACUGAACAGCGUAAGCCACCGAAUAAAUUAUUAGAGGGAUUCACUUAACAACGUUAACCGCGUAUUAAAGAUUAUUCUGAUUAACCGUCGCGAUCACCAAGGCAAUCUUUGAUGAUUUCAUUCGCAAUUCAAUGAAACAUUUCAAAUAGCAUAAAAUCAUGGCUUACGCAGCUGUUAAGUGAGUCCCCUUAUUAUUUUCGAAGUAGGCGUUGCACCAUAGGAUAUUAGGUGGACAAAAAUCAGAAAAGUGCGUUUUACCAAUGCUUGUUCUGAAAGUUUCUAUUAAUAAUAAACACAUAAACUAAAAGAAAUCCAGAAUUUCAAGUUUUGAGCUGAUGUAGCUACAAAAAUAUUGUGCAUUAAAGUGAUUUUCGCAAAAAACAACACAUAAUUGCAAAUCCAUAUUUUCUAAUUAAUAUCAUAAUUAUUUAUUGGUUUCAAUGCAUCAUUGGUAAGGUAAUGAAGCAAGCGAGGAAGCAAGCUUUCCAACAAGCAGGUGAUUUUGGGAAAUACUUCAACAAUGGAUCAAUGAAGCCAACUUUUCUAGUGUUCACCGCAUAUAAACAGAGGCGCUACCAUCCCGUAUAGAAAUUAACCUUUUUCAGAAUGGUUUGAAAAAUAAGACGGACGUUCACAAAAUGGUUACCAUAUCUGAAUACAGAACUUAAGGACAAAUGUCAUGAAAUCCCACCAAAGGUGCCAAAGUUGGCCAUUGUUGCGGCCAUUUUGGGAUUCUAACAAGUCUGUCCUUAAAUAGUUCACCAAGUACGGUAAAACAAUAUCCCAAUCCAACAUAAUACGGUGACCGUUUUGUUUGAUGUUCAUGUAUUCGUUUAUAGUGUAUGGAUUAGCAAACCAUAUGCCAACAUAAUGGUACCAUAUUGAUUACUGUUACCACGUGAAGCGCACACAGAGCCGAAAGCAAACGUCAAACAGUUUUUUUUUUCUUGUGAGCAGACAGAAUGCCCAUAUAAAUUAACUUUCUAGUUUAUUCGUAAACUCUUGAAACAAUCAUCAAAAAAAAAAGAAAAUCUUCGAUGCCGGUAAGCUGCCGAUUCUAAUCUGGCUGCCACGUUUCGAAAUGAAAACAAAAACUAGGCCACCCGAAUCAACUUGCCACGGAAACAAAUGAAAGAAAGUGCAGAUGCCCAUGUCCUGUGGUAGUUCUUGUGACUUCGACAGUGAAACAGCUGAGAAUAGGAGUCCGCCAAAAAUGCGCAGCAGCAGAGUAACUCAUGUUCCCGAUAGUGCCCACCGUUGCAAAUGUAUCGCAAAAAUCUUCCGAGUCUUGAUACA